Gadus morhua (Atlantic cod) is the source of this 510-nucleotide long non-coding RNA. RefSeq lists it as uncharacterized. The record is from RefSeq and is a predicted model, not a curated record. The transcript has 4 exons. Lineage: Eukaryota; Metazoa; Chordata; Actinopteri; Gadiformes; Gadidae.
ACACCCACUGGCCUCACCUGUGACUCAAUACAUUAUGUGGUUUUAGUAUUUUCUCCUUGUGUGGAAACAUGCAGAGUAUACUUCUGUUUGCUGUCUUUUAUUGGCACUUUUAUUUUCAGACCUUGUGUGGUUCUUGCGGAUCACAUCAUUGUGCUUUGAAGACGCUGCCCAGUGUCUUUAUCUUCCGUCUGAACCGGAUUGGUGAAGACGAAAAGGGCGCGCGAGUGAAGUUGAAUCAUCCUGUGGUUCUUUGCAGAGAACUGGAUCUUUCCGGUUUCCUGCCUGCCACACAGUUUCAGGAGACAUUCCGGUACAAGCUGGUGAGUGUCAUCAGCCAUGUCGGGUCAAGAACUGACGAGGGUCAUUUUGUAAGUGAAAGACUUCUGAUGGCGGCAGGCGUCACUUGAGACGGCUGGCUCACCUACAAUGACGAAAUUGUGAAAAUGUCUGACGACUCUGAAGAUCUACAGCGGCCACAGUCUGCAUCCAUCCUCUUCUACGAACGCCAGG